AGGAACCUGCCUUCCAGAGGGGGACAACAGUUGGAAACGACUGCUAAUACCGCAUGAUGCAUUGAAGUCGCAUGGCUUUGAUGUCAAAGAUUUAUCGCUGGAAGAUGGCCUCGCGUCUGAUUAGCUAGUUGGUGAGGUAACGGCCCACCAAGGCGACGAUCAGUAGCCGGACUGAGAGGUUGGCCAGCCACAUUGGGACUGAGAUACGGCCCAGACUCCUACGGGAGGCAGCAG
RNAcentral lists this ribosomal RNA (234 nucleotides) under uncultured bacterium. RNAcentral's name for it is "partial 16S ribosomal RNA". It matches the Rfam family "Bacterial small subunit ribosomal RNA", at positions 120 to 354 of the family's 1533-position model. The record is from RNAcentral.